RNAcentral lists this long non-coding RNA (949 nucleotides) under Pan troglodytes (chimpanzee). RNAcentral's name for it is "long non-coding RNA NONPTRT016230". Lineage: Eukaryota; Metazoa; Chordata; Mammalia; Primates; Hominidae. The record is from RNAcentral.
CCCAGCUACUUGGGAGGCUGAGGCAGGAGGAUCGCUUGAGCCCAGGAGUUCAAGGCUACAGUGAGCUAUGAUUGUACCACUGUACAGCCAGGAUGACAGAGUGAGACCCUGUCAAAACAACAACAACAACAACAACAACAAGAAAACAGAUAAGAAGACACGGCAUGUUCACUGGUGGAGCCAAGGCAAAGAGGGACCACUGUGCUCAUGGACCCAUCGCUGCCUUCCAAGGACCAUUUCCCAGAGCUACUCAACUUUUAAGCCCCUGCCAUGGUUGCUCCUGGAAGGAGAACCAGCCACCCUGAGGACCACCUGGCCAUGCGUGCACAGCCUGGGAAAAGACAGUUACUCACAGGAGCUGCAGGCCCGUCACCAAGCCCUCUCCCGACCCAGGCUUUGUGGGGCAGGCACCUGGUACCAAGGGUAACCCGGCUCCUGGUAUGGACGGAUGCGCAGGAUUUAGGAUAAGCUGUCACCCAGUCCCCAUAACAAAACCACUGUCCAACACUGGUAUCUGUGUUCUUUUGUGCUAUGAAUUUGGAUUCCUAAUUGCUAUUGUUGGUUGCUGGGGUUUUAAAUGAUUGAUAAGCUUGUACAGUUAACUUAUAGAGGGGGAGCCAUAUUUAACAUUCUGGAUUUCAGAGUAGAGAUUUCUGUGUUGUCUCCUAGAAAGCAUUACAUGUAGUUUAUUUCAGCAUCCUUGUUGGGUGGGGCCCUGGCUCUCUUCCCCUUUGGUGGGACCUCCCCUUUCUUUGGGCUUCAGUUCACUCAGGAAGAAAUGAGGCUGUCGCCAUCUUUAUGUGCUUCCAGUGGAAAUGUCACUUGCUACAGACAAUAGUGCAUGAGAGUCUAGAGAAGUAGUGACCAGAACAGGGCAGAGUAGGUCCCCUCCAUGGCCCUGAAUCCUCCUCUGCUCCAGGGCUGGCCUCUGCAGAGCUGAUUAGACAGU